Molecule: ribosomal RNA, 428 nt
Filed under: uncultured bacterium
Lineage: Bacteria
Description: bacterial SSU rRNA
Rfam family: Bacterial small subunit ribosomal RNA
Source: RNAcentral
UGGGGAAUUUUGGACAAUGGGGGAAACCCUGAUCCAGCAAUGCCGCGUGAGUGAAGAAGGCCUUCGGGUUGUAAAGCUCUUUUGUCAGGGAAGAAACACCGGCUCUAACACAGUCCGGGAAUGACGGUACCUGAAGAAUAAGCACCGGCUAACUACGUGCCAGCAGCCGCGGUAAUACGUAGGGUGCAAGCGUUGUUCGGAAUUACUGGGCGUAAAGCGCCUGUAGGCGGUUUAAGAAGUUGGGUGUGAAAUCCCCGGGCUCAACUCGGGAACUGCGCCCAAAACCAUUAAGCUUGAGUGCCAAAUGGGUACGUGGAAUUCCCAGUGUAGCAGUGAAAUGCGUAGAUAUGCGGAGGAACACCGAUGGCGAAGGCAAUCCCCUGGACCUGUACUGACGCUCAUGCACGAAAGCGUGGGGAGCAAACAGG